This 783-nucleotide ribosomal RNA is filed under the name uncultured beta proteobacterium. RNAcentral describes it as "bacterial SSU rRNA". It matches the Rfam family "Bacterial small subunit ribosomal RNA", at positions 293 to 1061 of the family's 1533-position model. Lineage: Bacteria; Pseudomonadati; Pseudomonadota; Betaproteobacteria. The record is from RNAcentral.
UGAGAGGACGACCCAGCCACACUGGGACUGAGACACGGCCCCAGACUCUUACGGGAGGGCAGCAGUGGGGGAAUUUUGGACAAUGGGCGAAAAGCCUGAUCCAGCAAUGCCGCGUGAGUGAAGAAGGCCUUCGGGUUGUAAAGCUCUUUUGUUCAGGGAAGAAACGGUCGAGGUUAAUACCUUUGGCUAAUGACGGUACCUGAAGAAUAAGCACCGGCUAACUACGUGCCAGCAGCCGCGGUAAUACGUAGGGUGCAAGCGUUAAUCGGAAUUACUGGGCGUAAAGCGUGCGCAGGCGGUUUUGUAAGUUUGUCGUGAAAGCCCCGGGCUCAACCUGGGAAUUGCGAUGAAGACUGCAAGGCUUGAAUCUGGCAGAGGGGGGUAGAAUUCCACGUGUAGCAGUGAAAUGCGUAGAGAUGUGGAGGAACACCGAUGGCGAAGGCAGCCCCCUGGGUCAAGAUUGACGCUCAUGCACGAAAGCGUGGGGAGCAAACAGGAUUAGAUACCCUGGUAGUCCACGCCCUAAACGAUGUCUACUAGUUGUCGGGUUUUAAUUAACUUGGUAACGCAGCUAACGCGUGAAGUAGACCGCCUGGGGAGUACGGUCGCAAGAUUAAAACUCAAAGGAAUUGACGGGGACCCGCACAAGCGGUGGAUGAUGUGGAUUAAUUCGAUGCAACGCGAAAAACCUUACCUACCCUUGACAUGUACGGAACCUUUGAGAGAUCAGAGGGUGCUCGAAAGAGAGCCGUAACACAGGUGCUGCAUGGCUGUCGUCAGCUC